GAAAGUAAGCAAGGGCAGACGGUGGAUGCCUUGGCUCUCGGAGGCGAUGAAGGACGUGAUAAGCUGCGAUAAGCUUGGGGUAGGUGCAAAUAACCUUUGAUCCCAAGAUUUCCGAAUGGGGCAACCCGGCUGGUAGAAGGCCAGUCAUUCCGUAAGGAAGGCGAACGUGGGGAACUGAAACAUCUAAGUACCCAUAGGAGAAGAAAACAAAAGUGAUUCCGCAAGUAGUGGCGAGCGAACGCGGAACAGCCCAAACCGAUGAUGUUUAGGCAUUGUCGGGGUAGUAGGACCACGUUGUGGCAAGAGAUUAAGGAAGUAGAACGUUUUGGAACAAACGGCCGUAGACGGUGAAAGCCCAGUAUACGACUCUUUAACGAAGCCUAGUGGAAUCCUGAGUAGCGCGGAGCACGAGAAAUUCUGUGUGAAUCAGCGGGGCCCAUCCCGUAAGGCUAAAUACUCCCGAGAGACCGAUAGCGAACCAGUACUGUGAAGGAAAGGUGAAAAGCACCUCGAACAGAGGAGUGAAAUAGUCCCUGAAACCGUCUGCCUACAAGCGGUCGGAGCAACGUAAGUUGUGACGGCGUGCCUUUUGCAUAAUGAACCUACGAGUUACUUUCUCCGGCAAGGUUAAGGGCUUCAGGCCCGGAGCCGAAGCGAAAGCGAGUCUUAAUAGGGCGUGAUAGUCGGAGUGAGUAGACGCGAAACCAAGUGAUCUACCCUUGGUCAGGAUGAAGGUUGGGUAACACCAACUGGAGGUCCGAAUGGGUAUACGUUGAAAAGUGUUCCAAUGAACUGAGGGUAGGGGUGAAAGGCUAAUCAAACUUGGAGAUAGCUCGUACUCCCCGAAAUGCAUUUAGGUGCAGCCUUUAUUUAGUAUAGCAUGAGGUAGAGCGACUGAUUGGAUGCGAGGGCUUCACCGCCUAUCAAGUCCAGAUAAACUCCGAAUGCGUGCUAUAUAUUGAUAAGGAGUGAGGGCGCGGGUGCUAAGGUCCGCGUCCGAGAGGAGAAGAAUCCAGACCAUCAGCUAAGGUCCCCAAAUAACAGUUAAGUUGAACUAACGAAGUCGGACUGCAGAGACAGCUAGGAUGUUGGCUUGGAAGCAGCCAUUCAUUUAAAGAGUGCGUAACAGCUCACUAGUCGAGGAGUCCGGCGUGGAUAAUACUCGGGCAUAAACUGUUUACCGAAGCUAUGGAUGUAGAAAUACAUGGUAGGGGAGCAUUCCAACGGCGUCGAAGGUGAAGGAUGACCUUUGCUGGAGCUUUUGGAAACGCAAAUGUAGGUAUAAGUAACGAUAAAGGAGGUGAGAAACCUCCUCGCCGAAAGACUAAGGUUUCCUGAUCAACGUUAAUCGGAUCAGGGUAAGUCGGGACCUAAGGUUAAGCCGAACGGCGAUACCGAUGGAAGAAUGGUUUAAUAUUCCCAUACUACUUUAUGGAGCGAUGUGGAGACGGAGAAGUGAAAGUCCUGCCAUCUGACGGAAUAGGUGGUUGAAGAGUGUAGAUGUAGAUUCCUGUAGGCAAAUCCGCAGGGAGAGUCGACCUUGACAGUAUGCCGCGUGCUUGCACAAGGCAAAAUGGACGUAAUCAGGCUCCCAAGAAAAUCCGCUAAGCAUAUUCAUAAAGUACCCGUACCGUAAACGGACACACGUAGUUGGGUUGAAAAUACUGAGGCGCUCGAGUGAUUCACGGUUAAGGAACUAGGCAAAUUGACCCUGUAACUUCGGGAUAAAGGGUCCCUACUGAGAGGUAGGGCGCAGAGAAUAGGUCCAGGCAACUGUUUAACAAAAACACAUGGCUGUGCGAAAUAGAAAUAUGAAGUAUACAGCCUGACACCUGCCCGGUGCUGGAAGGUUAAGAGGAGAGCUCAUCGCAAGAGAAGGCUUGAAUUGAAGCCCCAGUAAACGGCGGCCGUAACUAUAACGGUCCUAAGGUAGCGAAAUUCCUUGUCGGGUAAGUUC
RNAcentral lists this ribosomal RNA (1957 nucleotides) under human gut metagenome. RNAcentral describes it as "bacterial LSU rRNA". It matches the Rfam family "Bacterial large subunit ribosomal RNA", at positions 1 to 1983 of the family's 2925-position model. The record is from RNAcentral.